This 549-nucleotide ribosomal RNA is filed under the name uncultured bacterium. RNAcentral's name for it is "partial 16S ribosomal RNA". The record is from RNAcentral.
UAACCUUGCGGCCGUACUCCCCAGGCGGUCUACUUAAUGCGUUAGCUUGAGAGCCCAGUGUUCAAGACACCAAACUCCGAGUAGACAUCGUUUACGGCGUGGACUACCAGGGUAUCUAAUCCUGUUUGCUCCCCACGCUUUCGUGCCUGAGCGUCAGUCUUUGUCCAGGGGGCCGCCUUCGCCACCGGUAUUCCUCCAGAUCUCUACGCAUUUCACCGCUACACCUGGAAUUCUACCCCCCUCUACAAGACUCUAGUUCGCCAGUUCGAAAUGCAAUUCCCAGGUUGAGCCCGGGGCUUUCACGUCUCGCUUAACAAACCGCCUGCGCACGCUUUACGCCCAGUAAUUCCGAUUAACGCUCGGACCCUCCGUAUUACCGCGGCUGCUGGCACGGAGUUAGCCGGUCCUUCUUCUGUAGGUAACGUCACAGUAAUAGCGUAUUAAACUAUUACCUUUCCUCCCUACUGAAAGUGCUUUACAACCCGAAGGCCUUCUUCACACACGCGGCAUGGCUGCAUCAGGGUUUCCCCCAUUGUGCAAUAUUCCCCA